RNAcentral lists this ribosomal RNA (497 nucleotides) under uncultured bacterium. RNAcentral describes it as "partial 16S ribosomal RNA". It matches the Rfam family "Bacterial small subunit ribosomal RNA", at positions 28 to 507 of the family's 1533-position model. The record is from RNAcentral.
GAUGAACGCUGGCGGCGUGCCUAAUACAUGCAAGUCGAGCGAACGGACGAGAAGCCUGCUUUUCUGAUGUUAGCGGCGGACGGGUGAGUAACACGUGGAUAACCUACCUAUAAGACUGGGAUAACUUCGGGAAACCGGAGCUAAUACCGGAUAAUAUUUUGAACCGCAUGGUUCAAAAGUGAAAGACGGUCUUGCUGUCACUUAUAGAUGGAUCCGCGCUGCAUUAGCUAGUUGGUAAGGUAACGGCUUACCAAGGCAACGAUGCAUAGCCGACCUGAGAGGGUGAUCGGCCACACUGGAACUGAGGCACGGUCCAGACUCCUACGGGAGGCAGCAGUAGGGAAUCUUCCGCAAUGGGCGAAAGCCUGACGGAGCAACGCCGCGUGAGUGAUGAAGGUCUUCGGAUCGUAAAACUCUGUUAUUAGGGAAGAACAUAUGUGUAAGUAACUGUGCACAUCUUGACGGUACCUAAUCAGAAAGCCACGGCUAACUACGUG